RNAcentral lists this ribosomal RNA (322 nucleotides) under uncultured eukaryote. Its description in RNAcentral is "partial 18S ribosomal RNA". It matches the Rfam family "Eukaryotic small subunit ribosomal RNA", at positions 1470 to 1796 of the family's 1831-position model. The record is from RNAcentral.
CCCUUAGAUGGUCUGGGCCGCACGCGUGCUACACUGAGUGGAUCAGCGGGUCAGGUUGCGCGAAAGUGUUUCCUAAUCUUGAAAUCCGCUCGUGAUGGGGAUUGACGGUUGCAAUUUUCCGUCAUGAACGAGGAAUACCUUGUAAGCGCGGGUCAUCAUCCCGCGCUGAAUACGUCCCUGCCCUUUGUACACACCGCCCGUCGCUCCUACCGAUUGAGUGGUCCGGUGAGGCUUUGGGAUCUGAGCAAAGAGAGCGUUUCGCUCGUUUUGCCCGGAAAACUCAGUCGAACCUUAUCAUUUAGAGGAAGGAGAAGUCGUAACA